UAUAUACUCCCUCCGUCCGGAAAUACUUGUCAAAGGAAUGGAUGUAUCUAGACAUAUCUUAGUUUUAGAUACAUCUAUUUUUAUCCAUUUCUCCGACAAGUAUUUUGGGACGGAGGGAGUACUAU
Triticum aestivum (bread wheat) is the source of this 125-nucleotide non-coding RNA. NCBI's taxonomy places the organism in Eukaryota, Viridiplantae, Streptophyta, Magnoliopsida, Poales, Poaceae. The record is from Rfam.